This 253-nucleotide ribosomal RNA is filed under the name uncultured bacterium. Its description in RNAcentral is "partial 16S ribosomal RNA". It matches the Rfam family "Bacterial small subunit ribosomal RNA", at positions 524 to 776 of the family's 1533-position model. The record is from RNAcentral.
UACGGAGGGAGCUAGCGUUGUUCGGAAUUACUGGGCGUAAAGCGCACGUAGGCGGCUUUGUAAGUUAGAGGUGAAAGCCCGGAGCUCAACUCCGGAAUUGCCUUUAAGACUGCAUCGCUUGAAUCCAGGAGAGGUGAGUGGAAUUCCGAGUGUAGAGGUGAAAUUCGUAGAUAUUCGGAAGAACACCAGUGGCGAAGGCGACUUACUGGACACAUAUUGACGCUGAGGUGCGAAAGCGUGGGGAGCAAACAGG